This 24-nucleotide non-coding RNA is filed under the name Arabidopsis thaliana (thale cress). The record is from RNAcentral. Lineage: Eukaryota; Viridiplantae; Streptophyta; Magnoliopsida; Brassicales; Brassicaceae.
AUAACCGUCUUGUGUCAUCUACUC